RNAcentral lists this ribosomal RNA (421 nucleotides) under uncultured bacterium. RNAcentral's name for it is "bacterial SSU rRNA". It matches the Rfam family "Bacterial small subunit ribosomal RNA", at positions 357 to 775 of the family's 1533-position model. The record is from RNAcentral.
AGGAAUAUUGGUCAAUGGACGAGAGUCUGAACCAGCCAAGUAGCGUGAAGGAUGAAGGCCCUAUGGGUCGUAAACUUCUUUUAUAGGGGAAUAAAGUGCGGAACGUGUUCCGCUUUGUAUGUACCCUACGAAUAAGGAUCGGCUAACCCCGUGCCAGCAGCCGCGGUAAUACGGAGGAUCCGAGCGUUAUCCGGAUUUAUUGGGUUUAAAGGGAGCGUAGGUGGACGUAUAAGUCAGUUGUGAAAGUUUGCGGCUCAACCGUAAAAUUGCAGUUGAUACUGUAUGUCUUGAGUGUACAAGAGGUGGGCGGAAUUCGUGGUGUAGCGGUGAAAUGCUUAGAUAUCACGAAGAACUCCGAUUGCGAAGGCAGCUCACUAGAGUACAACUGACACUGAGGCUCGAAAGUGUGGGUAUCAAACAG